UUGCCUUAAACACACCGCUUGUCACGCGAGAUAAAA
Molecule: ribosomal RNA, 36 nt
Filed under: Eimeria magna
Lineage: Eukaryota; Apicomplexa; Conoidasida; Eucoccidiorida; Eimeriidae
Description: small subunit ribosomal RNA
Source: RNAcentral